Molecule: ribosomal RNA, 492 nt
Filed under: uncultured bacterium
Lineage: Bacteria
Description: partial 16S ribosomal RNA
Rfam family: Bacterial small subunit ribosomal RNA
Source: RNAcentral
AGUGAACGCUGGCGGUAGGCCUAACACAUGCAAGUCGAACGGCAGCACAGUAAGAGCUUGCUCUUACGGGUGGCGAGUGGCGGACGGGUGAGGAAUACAUCGGAAUCUACUUUUUCGUGGGGGAUAACGUAGGGAAACUUACGCUAAUACCGCAUACGACCUACGGGUGAAAGCAGGGGAUCUUCGGACCUUGCGCGAUUGAAUUAGCCGAUGUCGGAUUAGCUAGUUGGCGGGGUAAAGGCCCACCAAGGCGACGAUCCGUAGCUGGUCUGAGAGGAUGAUCAGCCACACUGGAACUGAGACACGGUCCAGACUCCUAUGGGAGGCAGCAGUGGGGAAUAUUGGACAAUGGGCGCAAGCCUGAUCCAGCCAUACCGCGUGGGUGAAGAAGGCCUUCGGGUUGUAAAGCCCUUUUGUUGGGAAAGAAAAGCAGCAGGUUAAUACCCCGCUGUUCUGACGGUACCCAAAGAAUAAGCACCGGCUAACUUCGUG